AGGACGAACGCUGGCGGCGUGCCUAACACAUGCAAGUCGAGCGGAGCCAUCCGAAGAUCCCUCGGGGUGAUUUGGUGAAGCUUAGCGGCGGACGGGUGAGUAACGCGUGAGUAACCUGCCCAUUAGUGGGGAAUAACACAGAGAAAUUUGUGCUAAUACCGCAUACCGACAUAGGAUGGCAUCUUCUUAUGUUGAAAGAUUUAUCGCUAAUGGAUGGACUCGCGUCCGAUUAGAUAGUAGGCGGGGUAACGGCCCACCUAGUCGACGAUCGGUAGCCGAACUGAGAGGUUGAUCGGCCACAUUGGGACUGAGACACGGCCCAGACUCCUACGGGAGGCAGCAGUGGGGGAUAUUGCGCAAUGGGGGAAACCCUGAACCGCAGCAACGCCGCGUGCAGGAAGACGGCCUUCGGGUUGUAAACUGUUGUCGCAAGGGAAGAAGAAAGUGACGGUACCUUGUGAGAAAGCCACGGCUAACUACGUGCCAGCCGCAGC
This 494-nucleotide ribosomal RNA is filed under the name uncultured bacterium. RNAcentral describes it as "bacterial SSU rRNA". It matches the Rfam family "Bacterial small subunit ribosomal RNA", at positions 26 to 518 of the family's 1533-position model. The record is from RNAcentral.